UACGUAGGCAGCGAGCGUUGUUCGGAGUUACUGGGCGUAAAGGGUGUGUAGGCGGUUGUUUAAGUUUGGUGUGAAAUCUCCCGGCUCAACUGGGAGGGUGCGCCGAAUACUGAAUGACUUCGAGUGCGGGAGAGGAGAGUGGAAUUCCUGAUGUAGCGGUGAAAUGCGUAGAUAUCAGGAGGAACACCGGUGGUGUAGACGGCUCUCUGGACCGUAACUGACGCUGAGACACGAAAGCGUGGGUAGCAAACAGG
Molecule: ribosomal RNA, 254 nt
Filed under: uncultured bacterium
Lineage: Bacteria
Description: partial 16S ribosomal RNA
Rfam family: Bacterial small subunit ribosomal RNA
Source: RNAcentral